GUGAAACCGCGAAUGGCUCAUUAAAUCACACCUAAUAUACUGGAUAGUAUCAGUUACUUGGAUAACUGCGGUAAUUCUGGAGCUAAUACAUGCGUCCAAGCCCCGAACGUAAGUGAGGGGCGCUUUUAUUAGAUCAAAACCAAACGACCUCGUGUCGUCCCCCUGGUGACUCUGAAUAACUUUGUGCUGAUCGCACGGCUUCACGCCGGCGACGUAUCUUUCUAAGGUGUGCCCUAUCAACUGUCGACUGUGGCAUAGACGCCCACAGUGGUUUUGACGGGUAACGGGGAAUCAGGGUUCGAUUCCGGAGAGGGAGCCUGAGAAACGGCUACCACUUCUAAGGAAGGCAGCAGGCACGCAAAUUACCCACUGGUCGCAGACCGAGGUAGUGACGAAAAAUAACGAUACCGGACUCAUCCGAGGCCCGGUAAUCGGAAUGAGUACACUUUAAAUCCUUUAACGAGGAACCAUUGGAGGGCAAGUCUGGUGCCAGCAGCCGCGGUAAUUCCAGCUCCAAUAGCGUAUAUUAAAGUUGUUGCGGUUAAAAAGCUCGUAGUUGGAUCUCGGCGGGUAGGGGGCGGUUCGUCGUUUGACGCUACUGCCCCAUUCGCCCGUGAAUGGUGUGGCGGAGGUUCCAGGGUGCUCUUAAUCGAGUGUCCUGGGAUGCCGUCAGGUUUACUUUGAAAAAAUUAGAGUGCUCAAAGCAGGCUUUACACGCUUGGAUAUUCGUGCAUGGAAUAAUGGAAUAGGACGUCGUUUCUAUUUUGUUGGUUUUCGGAAAUCGACGUAAUGAUUAAUAGGGACAGUCGGGGGCAUUAGUAUUCAGACGACAGAGGUGAAAUUCUUGGACCGUCUGAAGACUAACUACUGCGAAAA
This 876-nucleotide ribosomal RNA is filed under the name Canthocamptus kitaurensis. Its description in RNAcentral is "SSU rRNA". It matches the Rfam family "Eukaryotic small subunit ribosomal RNA", at positions 81 to 951 of the family's 1831-position model. The record is from RNAcentral. Lineage: Eukaryota; Metazoa; Arthropoda; Copepoda; Harpacticoida; Canthocamptidae.